AGCAGUGUGGCUCAAUGGAAAGAGCCUGGGCUUUGGAGUCAGAGGUCAGGGGUUUGACUCCCAACUCUGCCG
This 72-nucleotide transfer RNA is filed under the name Ornithorhynchus anatinus (platypus). It matches the Rfam family "tRNA". Rfam says of the family: Transfer RNA (tRNA) molecules are approximately 80 nucleotides in length. Lineage: Eukaryota; Metazoa; Chordata; Mammalia; Monotremata; Ornithorhynchidae. The record is from Rfam by way of RNAcentral.